RNAcentral lists this ribosomal RNA (253 nucleotides) under uncultured bacterium. RNAcentral's name for it is "partial 16S ribosomal RNA". It matches the Rfam family "Bacterial small subunit ribosomal RNA", at positions 524 to 776 of the family's 1533-position model. The record is from RNAcentral.
UACGAAGGGGGCUAGCGUUGCUCGGAAUUACUGGGCGUAAAGCGCACGUAGGCGGGUCAAUAAGUCGGGGGUGAAAUCCUGGAGCUCAACUCAAGAAAUGCACUCGGUACUGGGUGACUAGAGGACCGGAGAGGAUAGUGGAAUUCCCAGUGUAGUGGUGAAAUACGUAGAGAUUGGGAAGAACACCAGUGGCGAAGGCGGCUAUCUGGACGGUUUCUGACGCUAAGACGUGAAAGCGUGGGGAGCAAACAGG